This 578-nucleotide small RNA is filed under the name fungal sp. KU-2013. RNAcentral's name for it is "eukaryotic LSU rRNA". The stretch from base 168 to 321 matches the Rfam family "5.8S ribosomal RNA". The record is from RNAcentral. Lineage: Eukaryota; Fungi.
UAAGACAUGUGCACACCUGGCUCAUCCACUCCUUCAACCCCUGUGCACUUAUUGUAGAUCGGUGGAAAGGUUGAGUCGUCAAGACUUGACUGGAAAGCCUUUCUAUGUUUUUACUACAAACGCUUCAGUUAUAGAAUGUUAAUCUUGCGUAUAACGCAUUUAUAUACAACUUUCAGCAACGGAUCUCUUGGCUCUCGCAUCGAUGAAGAACGCAGCGAAAUGCGAUAAGUAAUGUGAAUUGCAGAAUUCAGUGAAUCAUCGAAUCUUUGAACGCACCUUGCGCUCCCUGGUAUUCCGGGGAGCAUGCCUGUUUGAGUGUCAUGGAAUUCUCAACUCUUAAUACUUUUUUUGUAUUGAGAGCUUGGAUUUGGAGGCUUGUGCUGGCUGCUUCGUUCAGUCGGCUCCUCUGAAAUGCAUUAGCGUGAAUUAAUACGGAUCGCUUCAGUGUGAUAAUUAUCUGCGCUGUAGUUGUGAAGUAACUAAUAACGUUUACGCUUCUAAUCAUCCUUCACGGGACAAUUAACCCUGACUUUUGACCUCAAAUCAGGUAGGACUACCCGCUGAACUUAAGCAUAUCA